GCUGAGAGAUUUUGUCACCACCAGGCCUGCCCUAAAAGAGCUCCUGAAGGAAGCACUAAACAUGGAAAGGAACAAUCGGUACCAGCCGCUGCAAAAUCAUGCCAAAAUGUAAACACCAUCGAUGCUAGGAAAAAACUGCAUCAACUAACAAGCAAAAUAACCAGCUAACAUCAUAAUGACAGGAGCAAAUUCACACAUAACAAUAUUAACUUUAAACGUAAAUGGACUAAAUGCUCCAAUUAAAAGACACAGACUGGCAAAUUGGAUCAAGAGUCAAGACCCAUCAGUGUGCUGUAUUCAGGAGACCCAUCUCAUGUGCAGAGACACACAUAGGCUCAAAAUAAAAGGAUGGAGGAAGAUCUACCAAGCAAAUGGAAAACAAAAAAAGGCAGGGGUUGCAAUCCUAGUCUCUGAUAAAACAGACUUUAAACCAACAAAGAUCAAAAGAGACAAAGAAGGCCAUUACAUAAUGGUAAAGGGAUCAAUUCAACAAGGAGAGCUAACGAUCCUAAAUAUAUAUGCACCCAAUACAGGAGCACCCAGAUUCAUAAAGCAAGUCCUGAGUGACCUACAAAGAGACUUAGACUCCCACACAUUGAUAAUGGGAGACUUUAACACCCCACUGUCAACAUUAGACAGAUCAAUGAGACAGAAAGUCAACAAGGAUACCCAGGAAAUGAACUCAGCUCUGCACCAAGCAGACCUAAUAGACAUCUACAGAACUCUCCACCCCAAAUCAACAGAAUAUACAUUUUUUUCAGCACCACACCACACCUAUUCCAAAAUUGACCACAUACUUGGAAGUCAAGGUCUCCUU
RNAcentral lists this long non-coding RNA (817 nucleotides) under Homo sapiens (human). RNAcentral describes it as "HSALNT0354240". The record is from RNAcentral. Lineage: Eukaryota; Metazoa; Chordata; Mammalia; Primates; Hominidae.